RNAcentral lists this ribosomal RNA (468 nucleotides) under uncultured bacterium. RNAcentral's name for it is "partial 16S ribosomal RNA". It matches the Rfam family "Bacterial small subunit ribosomal RNA", at positions 28 to 507 of the family's 1533-position model. The record is from RNAcentral.
GACGAACGCUGGCGGCGUGCUUAACACAUGCAAGUCGAGCGGAAAGGCCCUGCUUUUGUGCGGCGCUCGAUUGGCGAACGGGGGAGUAACACGUGAGUAACCCGCACUUGACUUUCGGAUAACUUCAGGAAACUGCGGCUCAUACCCGAUAGGAGCUCCUUCUGCAUAGGGGGGGUUGGUAAGUUUCGGCGGUUGGGGAUGGAAUCGCGGGUUAUCAGCCUGUUGGUGGGGUAGUGGCUUACCAAGGCUGUGACGGGUAGCCGGCCUGAGAGGGUGACCGGGCACCUUGCGACUGAGAUACGGCGCAGACGGGUACGGGAGGCAGUAGUGGGGAAUAUUGCACAAUGGGCGGAAGUCUGAUGCAGCAACGCCGCGUGCGGGAUGAUGGCCUUCGGGUUGUAAACCGCUUUGGCCGGUGACGAAGAGUGAGUGACGGUACUGGAUAAAGAAGCACCGGCUAACUACGUG